This is a long non-coding RNA of Osmerus eperlanus (European smelt), 1128 nucleotides long. RefSeq lists it as uncharacterized. The transcript has 3 exons. The record is from RefSeq and is a predicted model, not a curated record. NCBI's taxonomy places the organism in Eukaryota, Metazoa, Chordata, Actinopteri, Osmeriformes, Osmeridae.
UACACACAUCCUUUGUGAUCGAUAAAAAACGAGUCUAAGCGUCGAAUUACAAGUUGUCAUAUAAAGUUCACUUGGGUUAAUGGGCCUAAUCCAAUUAAACCCAACCAAACCAAACAUGUUUUCUUAGCGUCGUCUGCAAUCUCCCAUCGUCAGCCUGGGGCUGCAACAAUGGGAUUGAUUACAUAAAACAGAUCCAAUGAAGUAUGUGGAUGACGGGUGUGUAGGUGUCUGCUGGGCGACUUCCCAGUACUGAUACCUAAUUGAAGCUCAUUCAGACGGAGGAGAUCGACAACUAAACCUGCUGCUCCUUUUCAGUACCUUGGACAGCGUAGCAAGAACAGCGAGAAGUCACUUUACUGACUGCAUUCCAUCCAACACAGAAAUGUCAAAAUCAGCAGUUAUGCUCCUUACCUCUGUUUACUUUUUUUACAUAUUAUCUUCGACGUCAAACGUGGCUGCAGGAUGGACUGAUGAAAGGUUACCAUCUAAGCAUGAAGCUACCGAGGACACAAGGGAAUUGCUUGGUGUUCUUCACAACGUUCUAGAGAAACUUCAGAACAGGAGAAUGGCUUCAUGGGAAAGAAGACAGAGCCGCCUCCCUAGUUGUAAUGUUGGUGAUUUCUGCACAGCGAAAAAGGGACCACGGUUUGGCCAACUAUGUGACUGUCCAAGAGGGUCAAAGUGCAACCACUUCUUUCUCAAGUGUUUGUGACUGAUGGAAUUUCAUACUGGAUUUGACUAUUUCUGUAUUGAGUUUUGAUUGAUGAUUAAUCUAUCAUGCAAGUGUUCUUUAUAUAAUUUGCCUGUGAAAAGUUUUGAAUUAAUGUUCAUGUUUACUUGAUAAACUGUAGGCAAAUACUUUAUUACGUUUUAAUUACAUGCAACAACAUUAAAUGUUCCGUAGUACUUUAGUACUCAGGUUAAGGAUAUGUUAACAAAGCAUCGGGACUUUAGUAAGAAGAAACAUAAUAGAUUACAUCACAGCCUUAAAUAACUAUAUAUUGUUGUACUGCAUUAACAGCAAGCACUUUGAUCCGAACAGAAAACUUAGACAUGAGAAGGAAUUAUACAGAUGACUGAUAAAUAACACCCUGUUUAAACCCUCAAUAUAAUCAGGUAAGACAGACA